RNAcentral lists this ribosomal RNA (253 nucleotides) under uncultured bacterium. RNAcentral's name for it is "partial 16S ribosomal RNA". It matches the Rfam family "Bacterial small subunit ribosomal RNA", at positions 524 to 776 of the family's 1533-position model. The record is from RNAcentral.
UACAGAGGUGGCAAGCGUUGUUCGGAAUUACUGGGCGUAAAGAGCUCGUAGGUGGUUUGUCGCGUUGUUCGUGAAAACUCACAACUCAAUUGUGGGCGUGCGGGCGAUACGGGCAGACUGGAGUACUGCAGGGGAGACUGGAAUUCCUGGUGUAGCGGUGGAAUGCGCAGAUAUCAGGAGGAACACCGGUGGCGAAGGCGGGUCUCUGGGCAGUAACUGACGCUGAGGAGCGAAAGCGUGGGGAGCGAACAGG